GGCAGCCCAAAAGGUCAGUCUCACUCCCACUAUGUCUCCCCUCAACAGCACCGAGUUUGUUUCCAGGCAGCUGGUGAGCAGAGCUGACACCUUUCCUCAGGCUAUAAGCCUCCCCACUGACAAUGCAAGGAGGGCUUUCAGGUUUAUGCCUCCCCACCUGCCGCGGUUUCCUCCCCAAGGACCCCUGCAAGAAAAAGUCAGGAAUGGAUUCCUGGAACAAAGAAUGUCCACAGGGCUCUUGAUGCUGCUGCCUCUACCCCUAUAUUUUAUAUAGUUCUGGAAGUACUCACUGCAGAGACAAAUGGAAAUGAGUCCACUCUAGGAAGAAGAAUAACUGGAAGCUUGAGCUGUGUAAAUGUGACUUGGAAAUGUGACUUCAGGAGAAAGAACCAGGUAGAAAACCCUGAUGGUGAAAGCAAGUUUUAACUGAAAUGAGAAGAAACUGAAAGUUACAUUACCAUGGCUUUUAUGAGUCAAAGAAGAGACAUUAUGGGUAUGUGAACUAAAAUAAUGACAUUUGGCAUGGGGAAAGUGAUAGAUACAGUAAUUUCAAUUUUCUGCAAGAUAGAGAACACACAGAGAAGUAGUGAUUGAUAUACAGUAUGAGAAUCCAUCCCCUAUGAUGUGUGCAAAGGAAAUUAAUAUGACUGGCUAGACCCUGGAAACGUUUAAUACUAUAAAUCACCGGUGUGAAAAAAAAGGUGGGUAUGAAAAUUGGAAUAAUUGGAUAAUAAAUACUAAACAAUGAAACUUUCCACUUCAGUGUACAGAAUGCCUGGCAGGCAAGGAUUUAUCCCGUUAGCCAAAUA
Molecule: long non-coding RNA, 809 nt
Filed under: Homo sapiens (human)
Lineage: Eukaryota; Metazoa; Chordata; Mammalia; Primates; Hominidae
Description: HSALNT0335172
Source: RNAcentral